RNAcentral lists this ribosomal RNA (429 nucleotides) under uncultured bacterium. RNAcentral's name for it is "bacterial SSU rRNA". It matches the Rfam family "Bacterial small subunit ribosomal RNA", at positions 355 to 776 of the family's 1533-position model. The record is from RNAcentral.
CUAAGAAUAUUCCGCAAUGGGGGGAACCCUGACGGAGCGACGCCGCGUGGACGAGGAAGGCCGGCAGGUUGUAAAGUCCAUUUGUACGCGGGGAAUAAGCGGGCGAGGUAAUGCGUCCGCGGUGACGGUAGCGUGCGAAUAAGGGGCGGCUAAUUACGUGCCAGCAGCCGCGGUAACACGUAAGCCCCGAGCGUUGUUCGGAAUCAUUGGGCGUAAAGGGCAUGUAGGCGGCCGCGCAAGCCCGGUGUGAAAUCCCGGGGCUCAACUCCGGGAGUGCGCCGGGAACUGCGCGGCUGGAGUAGCCGUGGGGCAGCCGGAAUUCCGGGUGGAGGGGUGAAAUCUGCAGAUAUCCGGAAGAACACCGAUGGCGAAGGCAGGCUGCCAGCGGAUUACUGACGCUGAGGUGCGAAGGCGCGGGGAGCGAACAGG